This is a long non-coding RNA of Salmo salar (Atlantic salmon), 1236 nucleotides long. RefSeq lists it as uncharacterized. Lineage: Eukaryota; Metazoa; Chordata; Actinopteri; Salmoniformes; Salmonidae. The record is from RefSeq and is a predicted model, not a curated record.
UGUAGCCUACUCCUUCUCAUUUAGCCAACUUAAUUCCAUAAUUUUAAUUCCAUUUUGCAUUGAUUAGAAAAACCCCACUUCACAUGGAGCCUCUUAAAAUAGGCCUAUAUAUUUUUUCUAAAAAUGAUAUACUCUCCGAAGUACUUCAAUACUAACGUCUUUUCAAAUAAUCGUGCCCAUCCCCAAUGUAAAACGUUGUAGGCCUACACGUCUAUGUUUUAUAGCCUAUGCAAUGACUAUUAGGCCAUAGCAGCGUGUUUGUCCGCAAGGCUGAAGAUGUAUCUCCUAAUUAAAUUCAUUCUUAAGGGGUUUACAGACAAUAUGCAAACAAAGUCGACGGAGCGUAGUGCAGUGUUGCAAUUUCAUUUUUCGUCACAAGAGGAGUGGCUCCUUGUAAUAUGCUCAGUUGUUCAACGCCGUUUUAUUCUACCUGGAAAUUGAAACUCGACGUCUCAUUCCUUGCAAAGACUGAGGGGAAGUAUUGAGUGAGUUUUUCAACUGAAGUAUUUGACGGUAUCCCUUUUGGUAUAAACAUGGAAGAGAUGGACGUUCUGCUACUUGCAAGCGUCCUUUUUUAUGCUUUUAUUUGAGAGAUGUCUUUGUCCAGUUUUGAGGAGCGUCUGUGCGAGCUGGUGAAAAUGAGAACCUUCACAAUUCUUCGAUGCGGUAGCUUUCGGACAAGGACACAAAAAACAGCUGGAGGGAGAUAUCACGAAAUUUGAACACUGAUACUGAUAUCAAAGAUACAGGUCCCGAAUCUUUCUCCAUGUAUGUUCGCAAUCUGAAAAUGUUGAAGGCGGCUAGGAGUAGGGCUGGUGUUUGUGUCCCACCUAUUGUCUGACAACUGGAUUGGUUUCGUGUUCACGUCAAACAUCGCAAGACAGACACUAAUAUGCCAGGUGUUGAAAGGGGAUGGUGUUUUGGACAGUUCAGAGACGGAGCAGAGCCCUGAGGGCCAAUCUACAGGUGGUUCAUCGGCCCUUGAUUUAGCAUCUCCCCGGCCUGGUUCAUCACCUCUCCGGCCCAUUGCCCAACGUACCGUCCAGGUGCCCCCUUGCUCUCUGCAGCUGGCUCUGAUUGUAGUGUAAUAAAACAGGCAGGCAGCGUCUCGUCUGUGGUGGUCGGCGAACUCUCGACCUUCUGGCCUGUAGCCCUGCGUGGCAUGGACUGUGCCACAAAAGCAUGCUGAAGUGGUAAUCGAUAUUCAAUCUUAUAAAUAAAGGGUCUCUACAGUUA